This 254-nucleotide ribosomal RNA is filed under the name uncultured bacterium. RNAcentral's name for it is "partial 16S ribosomal RNA". It matches the Rfam family "Bacterial small subunit ribosomal RNA", at positions 524 to 776 of the family's 1533-position model. The record is from RNAcentral.
GACGUAGGGCGCGAGCGUUGUCCGGAUUUAUUGGGCGUAAAGAGCUCGUAGGCGGCUCGUUGCGUCGGCUGUGAAAAACCCGCAGCUCAACUGUGGGCUUGCAGCCGAUACGGGCGGGCUGGGAUUCGGUAGGGGAGACUGGAAUUCCUGGUGUAGCGGUGAAAUGCGCAGAUAUCAGGAGGAACACCGGUGGCGAAGGCGGUCUGCUGGGCAGUUGCUGACACUGAGGCGCGACAGCGUGGGGAGCAAACAGG